Transfer RNA from Phytophthora infestans T30-4, 72 nucleotides. It matches the Rfam family "tRNA". Rfam says of the family: Transfer RNA (tRNA) molecules are approximately 80 nucleotides in length. NCBI's taxonomy places the organism in Eukaryota, Oomycota, Peronosporomycetes, Peronosporales, Peronosporaceae. The record is from Rfam.
UCGCUUUUAGCUCAGUGGUCGAGCGUUGGCUUUGGAAGCCACAGGUCGGUGGUUCGAACCCGCCAGGGCACA